CCUAUGUUAAAUUCAAAUUGUUUAGCAAAACAGCCGGUUGUCCAGCAUAUCAUUGAUAACUUACAGCUAUCAGCUCUUGAAUAUCGUAAUGAAAGGGAUCCUGAUGUCAUUCCAUAUGUUCAUGACAUAAAGAUUGAACUAAUCGAGGUUGCAUUGGGGAAAGAAGCUGUUGAUCUUAACAAACGGCUAUUGGAAGUGAUACGUCCAUAUGUGGCAAGGCUUUCUACACUUGGACUUCUCCAGAAUAGAGACUAUCAAAUAUUAAGCCCACCUGAUUUACUCAACUCGAGAUAAAUUUCACCAAGCACCUCCUAUGGACCUUCCCCAGAACAGAUAUGGAGAAAUUAAAGCUUGUUUUGGAGGUCUUAUUACUCUUUACCACAUCCGUAAGCUCCUUUCAAGUCAUGGAAUAAGGCCAACAUAUGAGAUGCUGGAAGAAAAGUUGAAACAAUGGUUACCAAGAAGAGAUGCCCUGUAUGAUGAUUUGACAAUGGCAAUGGCAUUUGUUUUGAUCAUCUGAACUUCACCAAACGGUGCUUAGGCUGAUGGGUGAAAUUUUUUAAUGUCAUUUGCAAGACUGAUGAGCAAAAAUGAAGAUAUUAGGAAAAUAAAGCCUUCAACGCAACAAAGCCUGUCUCAUGGUGCACCGAGUCCCAAAUUGUCAAAAAUGUUGGAAGUACUUGUUGACCAUUUCAGUGAGUGGCAUCCUCUUUCUUGAACAUAAAAAAAACUGCAGUUUUGAUUUGCAUGCCAGUCUUUUCACUCCACCGUUACACUUCUGCAUUACUAUGUUGAACUUCACAUAUUAUUUAGAAACUUCAUCUGUCAGCUAUUAAGAUUCACAAGAGGAGGGGUCCCUGAUCAAGCUGGAAAACCUGUGCUUUUAGGUUGUAUUUUGUGGGAAAAAGGAACUUUAGGUGUUACGGAUAAAAUUUGGGUCUCAAGGAAUUAAACUAUGUUGCUGUUUGAUAGAA
This is an RNA transcript of Populus trichocarpa (black cottonwood), 974 nucleotides long. It is a transcript of the gene named DEAD-box ATP-dependent RNA helicase FANCM-like, with no coding region annotated. The record is from RefSeq and is a predicted model, not a curated record. The transcript has 5 exons. Lineage: Eukaryota; Viridiplantae; Streptophyta; Magnoliopsida; Malpighiales; Salicaceae.